AGGGCGCAGGGCGAAUGCCUUGGCACUGGGAGCCGAUGAAAGACGUGAUAAGCUGCGAUAAGCUUCGGGGAGCUGCAAAUAAGCAUUGAUCCGGAGAUUUCUGAAUGAGGAAACUCACCUGGGUUCAUACUCAGGUACGUUGUACUGAAAUUCAAAAUAGGUACAUCGAGGGAACCGCCUGAACUGAAACAUCUAAGUAGGGCGAGGAAGAGACAUCAAACGAGAUUCCGUAAGUAGUGGCGAGCGAACGCGGAAGAGGGCAAACCGAAGGUAGAAAUACCUUCGGGGUACGGAGCGCAUUUAAGACUUGAGUUGUUAACCGAACGGCAUGGGAAGGCCGGUCAGAGAGUGUGAGAACCACGUAGGUGAAAGCGACAAGAGCUGAGCGAUUUCCAGAGUACGGCCAGACACGUGAAACCUGGUCGGAAGAUGGGGGGACCACCCUCCAACCCUAAAUACUACCCAGUGACCGAUAGCGUAUAGUACUGUGAAGGAAAGGUGAAAAGCACCCCGGGAGGGGAGUGAAAAAGAACCUGAAACCCUGUGCCUACAAGCACCUAGAGCACGUCAAUGUGUGAUAGGGUACUUUUUGUAGAACGGUCCGGCGAGCGAUUGUAUGCAGCAAGGUUAAGGACUUAAGGUCUGGAGCCGAAGCGAAAGCGAGUUUGAAAAGGGCGUUAAGUUGCAUAUAAUGGGCCCGAAACCGGGUGACCUACCCAUGGUCAGGUUGAAGUGGAAGUAAAAUUCCAUGGAGGACCGAACCGACCUCCGUUGAAAAGGCGGCGGAUGAACUGUGGGUAGCGGAGAAAUUCCAAUCGAACCCGGAGAUAGCUGGUUCUCUCCGAAAUAGCUUUAGGGCUAGCCUCGACUGAACAUUACUGGAGGUAAAGCACUGAAUGGGCUAGGGGCCGAGAGGUUACUGAACCCUAUCAAACUAAGAAUGCCAGAUAAUGAUAGUCGGGAGUCAGACAGUGUGAGAUAAGUUUCAUUGUCAAAAGGGAAACAGCCCAGACCCACAGCUAAGGUCCCCAAGUAUCGUUAAGUGGAAAAGGAUGUGGAACUGCCCAGACAACCAGGAUGUUGGCUCAGAAGCAGCCAUACAUUCAAAGAGUGCGUAAUAGCUCACUGGUCGAGAGGUCCUGCGCCGAAAAUGUCCGGGGCUGAAACGCGCCACCGAAACUAAGGAACCGAAAGGUUGGUAGAGGAGCAUUGCAUGCGGGAAGAAGCAGUACCGUAAGGAGCUGUGGACUGCAUGGAAGAGAGAAUGCCGGAAUGAGUAGCGAGAAUAAGGUGAGAAUCCUUAUGGCCGAAUAUCCAAGGUUUCCAGAGUAAAGCUGAUCUGCUCUGGGUAAGUCGGGGCCUAAGGCGAGGUCGAAAGACGUAGUCGAUGGAUAACAGGUGGAGAUUCCUGUACUAUGUGUACCCAGAACUGUGGGGACGCAUGUGGAGAGCAUGAGCCGGGAAAGAGAAAACCGGUACAAGCGGGGUAGGAGUAAGGACAGCAAAUCUUCCUUACAAUCCGAAGACGUAAUGUGGACCGAACCAAAGUAGGGAAGCAUGUGAGCCAUGUGCCAAGAAAAGCCGCUAUUGUGAUACACAUACCCGUACCGUAAACCGACACAGGUGGAUGAGGAGAGAAUCCUAAGGCCGACGGAAGAAGCAUUGUUAAGGAACUCGGCAAAAUGACCCCGUAACUUCGGGAGAAGGGGUGCCUGCGAGAGCAGGCCGCAGAGAAUAGGCUCAAGCAACUGUUUAGCAAAAACACAGGUCUAUGCGAAACCGAAAGGUGAGGUAUAUGGGCUGACGCCUGCCCGGUGCUGGAAGGUUAAGAGGAGAGGUUAGCGCAAGCGAAGCUUUGAAUUUAAGCCCCAGUAAACGGCGGCCGUAACUAUAACGGUCCUAAGGUAGCGAAAUUCCUUGUCAGGUAAGUUCUGACCCGCACGAAAGGCGUAAUGAUUUGGGCACUGUCUCAACAGCCCGCCCGGCGAAAUUGUAGUACCGGUGAAGAUGCCGGUUACCCGCGACAAGACGGAAAGACCCCAUGGAGCUUUACUGUAGCCUAAUAUUGGGUUUCGAUGUUGCAUGCACAGGAUAGAUGGGACACUGGGAAACAAUCGCUUUGGCGGUUGCGGAGUGGCCGUUGGGAUACCAUCCUUGCGAUAUUGGAAUUCUAACCUGCGGCUCUGAAUCGAGUCGGGGGACAUUGUUAGGUGGGCAGUUUGACUGGGGCGGUCGCCUCCUAAAAAGUAACGGAGGCGUUCAAAGGUUCGCUCAGCUUGAACGGAAAUCAAGCAAAAGAGUGCAAACGCAGAAGCGAGCCUAACUGCGAGACUGACGGGUCGAGCAGUAACGAAAGUUGGAGUUAGUGAUCCGGUGGUAUGUGAGUGGAAAUGCCAUCGCUCAACGGAUAAAAGCUACCCUGGGGAUAACAGGCUGAUCUCCCCCAAGAGUCCACAUCGACGGGGAGGUUUGGCACCUCGAUGUCGGCUCAUCGCAUCCUGGAGCUGAAGUCGGUUCCAAGGGUUGGGCUGUUCGCCCAUUAAAGCGGUACGCGAGCUGGGUUCAGAACGUCGUGAGACAGUUCGGUCCCUAUCUGUCGUGGGCGCAGGAUAUUUG
This 2616-nucleotide ribosomal RNA is filed under the name human gut metagenome. Its description in RNAcentral is "bacterial LSU rRNA". It matches the Rfam family "Bacterial large subunit ribosomal RNA". The record is from RNAcentral.